GGGAUUAAAGGGAGCGUAGGUGGAAGAGCAAGUCAGCCUGUGAAAGUUUGCGGCGCAACGGGAAAAUUGCAGUUGAUACUGGUUUUCUUGAGUGCAGUAGAGGUGGGCGGAAUUCGUGGUGUAGCGGUGAAAUGCUUAGAUAUCACGAAGAACUCCGAUUGCGAAGGCAGCUCACUGGACUGUAACUGACACUGAUGCUCGAAAGUGUGGGUAGCAA
Molecule: ribosomal RNA, 217 nt
Filed under: uncultured bacterium
Lineage: Bacteria
Description: partial 16S ribosomal RNA
Rfam family: Bacterial small subunit ribosomal RNA
Source: RNAcentral